This 30-nucleotide non-coding RNA is filed under the name Rattus norvegicus (Norway rat). Lineage: Eukaryota; Metazoa; Chordata; Mammalia; Rodentia; Muridae. The record is from RNAcentral.
UCCGAUGUACUGAUUGUCAGCAUUAGAGGG